GACGAACGCUGGCGGCGUGCUUAACACAUGCAAGUCGAACGGAAAGGCCCUGCUUUUUUGGGGUGCUCGAGUUGCGAACGGGUGAGUAACACUUGAGUAACCUGCACUUGACUUUGGGAUAACCUCAGGAAACUGGGGCUAAUACCGGAUAGGAGCUCCUGCUGCAUGGUGGGGGUUGGAAAGUUUCGGCGGUUGGGGAUGGACUCGCGGCUUAUCAGCUUGUUGGUGGGGUAGUGGCUUACCAAGGCUUGGAAGGGUAGCCGGCCUGAGAGGGUGACCGGCCACAUUGGGACUGAGCUACGGCCCAGACUCCUACGGGAGGCAGCGGUGGGGAAGAUUGCACAAUGGGCGGAAGCCUGAUGCAGCAACGCCGCGUGCGGGAUGACGGCCUUCGGGUUGUAAACCGCUUUCGCCUGUGACGAAGCGUGAGUGACGGUAAUGGGUAAAGAAGCACCGGCUAACUACGUG
RNAcentral lists this ribosomal RNA (468 nucleotides) under uncultured bacterium. Its description in RNAcentral is "partial 16S ribosomal RNA". It matches the Rfam family "Bacterial small subunit ribosomal RNA", at positions 28 to 507 of the family's 1533-position model. The record is from RNAcentral.